GCGUGAGUGAUGAAGGCCUUAGGGUUGUAAAGCUCUUUUACCCGGGAUGAUAAUGACAGUACCGGGAGAAUAAGCUCCGGCUAACUUCGUGCCAGCAGCCGCGGUAAUACGAGGGGAGCUAGCGUUGUUCGGAAUUACUGGGCGUAAAGCGCACGUAGGCGGCUUUGUAAGUAAGGGGUGAAAGCCCAGAGCUCAACUCUGGAAUUGCCUUUUAGACUGCAUCGCUUGAAUCCAGGAGAGGUGAGUGGAAUUCCGAGUGUAGAGGUGAAAUUCGU
This 275-nucleotide ribosomal RNA is filed under the name uncultured bacterium. RNAcentral describes it as "partial 16S ribosomal RNA". It matches the Rfam family "Bacterial small subunit ribosomal RNA", at positions 399 to 691 of the family's 1533-position model. The record is from RNAcentral.